Molecule: long non-coding RNA, 936 nt
Organism: Canis lupus familiaris (dog)
Lineage: Eukaryota; Metazoa; Chordata; Mammalia; Carnivora; Canidae
Exons: 3
Source: RefSeq, a predicted model, not a curated record
CUUGCAGGGAGCCUGAUGUGGGACUCCAUCCCAGGACUCCAGGAUCACGACUUGAGCCAAAGGACUUCCAAUUUACAAAGAAAUGUGAAUUCUCAGCCUAAAAUCAGACUUAAAACCUAGAUAUAUUUGCAUCUUUUACAUCUUCCAAAGGAUUUCUUCUAGUUAUGAAGAAAGAUCGCUUCUGUCACUACAGAUAGUGUUCCAGCUGCAUUAGGUCAAAAAUCUGGAUUGGAAUUUAAUGAGUUUGGAUUCCCUUUGUUGUUUUGUUUCACUUUAUGAUGCAUAUUGAAAAUAGUUGCACUUAAUUUCCUGAAACAAACUGAAAAGUGUCAUAAUUGCUAAAAUUAAGGAUAGUUCGAAAGCAAGGAACCCUCACCAGCUUGUGGAGACUAUUCAGAAGGACAGAAGGCAAUUUAAUGGUCUUAUCUUUACUAAUACUCAUUGGUUGAAUUAUGAAGAAACUUUAACAAUGGUUUACAGUUCUUUUAAUAGCGAUUUAAGAUUAUUUUGCAACAAAAAUGCUUGCAAAAUAUGCAGUAAUUAAAAGCAAAUCAUGUCAGUAUGAUACACAUUUUCUUAGUAGUAUCAAGCUGCAAAUGAGUGAACCAAAAUUGAAGCUCCAAGAAGAAAGGGUAUUUGUGAUCUUCACAGACAGGGACAAGAAUUCAUGUUGAACUUCACAACACAAAGUUGUGUGAACACCAAGAGUGCUGCUUCUAACAUUUUAAGUGUCAUCACAUUUUGCAAAUUGGCUGCUAAAACUGCAAGUAAAACCUGAAGAAUACUUUGUUGGUAUCUUGAAAUUGACAAACUGAUCUUAAAAUUCAUGGAAAUCCAAGGAACUCCAAAGAGCCAAAGAAUAUUGAGAAAGAACAAAGUUGGAAGACUCAAACUUCCUCAGUUCAAAAUGUAUUACAAAGCUUCAAAAAUCAAGAA